Schistosoma rodhaini is the source of this 45-nucleotide non-coding RNA. The record is from Rfam. Lineage: Eukaryota; Metazoa; Platyhelminthes; Trematoda; Strigeidida; Schistosomatidae.
AUCCAUCUGACGAGUCUCGAAUAGGACGAAACGCACAUUCUGGAU